GGAGCAUGUGGUUUAAUUCGACGCAACGCGAAGAACCUUACCUACUCUUGACAUCUACAGAAUUUUGCAGAGAUGCGAAAGUGCCUUCGGGAACUGUAAGACAGGUGCUGCAUGGCUGUCGUCAGCUCGUGUUGUGAAAUGUUGGGUUAAGUCCCGCAACGAGCGCAACCCUUAUCCUUAGUUGCCAGCACGUAAUGGUGGGAACUCUAGGGAGACUGCCGGUGAUAAACCGGAGGAAGGUGGGGACGACGUCAAGUCAUCAUGGCCCUUACGAGUAGGGCUACACACGUGCUACAAUGGUAUGUACAGAGGGAGGCAAGCUGGCGACAGUGAGCGGAUCUCUUAAAGCAUAUCGUAGUCCGGAUCGCAGUCUGCAACUCGACUGCNNNNAGUAGGAANCGC
RNAcentral lists this ribosomal RNA (402 nucleotides) under Rheinheimera sp. AZTITEMP174. RNAcentral describes it as "bacterial SSU rRNA". It matches the Rfam family "Bacterial small subunit ribosomal RNA", at positions 934 to 1335 of the family's 1533-position model. Lineage: Bacteria; Pseudomonadati; Pseudomonadota; Gammaproteobacteria; Chromatiales; Chromatiaceae. The record is from RNAcentral.